Molecule: ribosomal RNA, 229 nt
Filed under: uncultured bacterium
Lineage: Bacteria
Description: partial 16S ribosomal RNA
Rfam family: Bacterial small subunit ribosomal RNA
Source: RNAcentral
UGCGUAGGCGGAAUGAUAAGUUAGUGGUGAAAUCCCUCGGCUCAACCGGGGCACUGCCAUUAAAACUGUCAUUCUUGAGUAUAGUUGAAGUGGGCGGAAUGUAUCAUGUAGCGGUGAAAUGCUUAGAUAUGAUACAGAACACCGAUAGCGUAGGCAGCUUGCUAAACUAUAACUGACGCUCAGGCACGAACGCGUGGGGAGCGAACAGGAUUAGAUACCCUGGUAGUCC